Molecule: ribosomal RNA, 423 nt
Filed under: uncultured bacterium
Lineage: Bacteria
Description: partial 16S ribosomal RNA
Rfam family: Bacterial small subunit ribosomal RNA
Source: RNAcentral
AAUCUUCCGCAAUGGACGCAAGCCUGACGGAGCAACGCGGCGUGAGUGAUGAAGGUUUCCGGAUCGUAAAACUCUGUUGUUGGGGAGGAACAAGUAUCGGAGUUACGGCCGGUACCUUGCCGGUACCUUACGAGAAAGCCACGGCUACUUACUGCCCAGCAGCCCCGGUAAUACGUCGGUGGCAAGCGUUGUCCGGAUUUAUUGGGCGUAAAGCAGGCGCAGGCGGUCUUUUAAAUCUGAUGUGAAAUCUUACAGCUUAACUGUAAGCGGUCAUUGGAAACAAGGAGACUUGAGUGCAGAAGAGGAGAGUGGAAUUACAUGUGUAGCGGUGAAAUGCGUAGAGAUAUGGAGGAACAACAGUGGCGAAGGCGACUCUCUGGUCUGUAACUGACGCUGAGGCGCGAAAGCGUGGGGAGCAAACAG